RNAcentral lists this ribosomal RNA (497 nucleotides) under uncultured bacterium. RNAcentral describes it as "partial 16S ribosomal RNA". It matches the Rfam family "Bacterial small subunit ribosomal RNA", at positions 28 to 507 of the family's 1533-position model. The record is from RNAcentral.
GAUGAACGCUGGCGGCGUGCCUAAUACAUGCAAGUCGAGCGAACAGACGAGGAGCUUGCUCCUCUGACGUUAGCGGCGGACGGGUGAGUAACACGUGGAUAACCUACCUAUAAGACUGGGAUAACUUCGGGAAACCGGAGCUAAUACCGGAUAAUAUAUUGAACCGCAUGGUUCAAUAGUGAAAGACGGUUUUGCUGUCACUUAUAGAUGGAUCCGCGCCGCAUUAGCUAGUUGGUAAGGUAACGGCUUACCAAGGCAACGAUGCGUAGCCGACCUGAGAGGGUGAUCGGCCACACUGGAAAUGAGACACGGUCCAGAAUCCUAAGGGAGGCAGCAGUAGGGAAUCUUCCGCAAUGGGCGAAAGCCUGACGGAGCAACGCCGCGUGAGUGAUGAAGGUCUUCGGAUCGUAAAACUCUGUUAUUAGGGAAGAACAAAUGUGUAAGUAACUAUGCACGUCUUGACGGUACCUAAUCAGAAAGCCACGGCUAACUACGUG